GACGAACGCUGGCGGCGUGCUUAACACAUGCAAGUCGAACGGAAAGGCCCUGCUUUUGUGGGGUGCUCGAGUGGCGAACGGGUGAGUAACACGUGAGUAACCUGCCCUUGACUUUGGGAUAACUUCAGGAAACUGGGGCUAAUACCGGAUAGGAGCUCCUGCUGCAUGGUGGGGGUUGGAAAGUUUCGGCGGUUGGGGAUGGACUCACGGCUUAUCAGCUUGUUGGUGGGGUAGUGGCUUACCAAGGCUUUGACGGGUAGCCGGCCUGAGAGGGUGACCGGCCACAUUGGGACUGAGAUACGGCCCAGACUCCUACGGGAGGCAGCGGUGGGGAAUAUUGCACAAUGGGCGGAAGCCUGAUGCAGCAACGCCGCGUGCGGGAUGACGGCCUUCGGGUUGUAAACCGCUUUCGCCUGUGACGAAGCGUGAGUGACGGUAAUGGGUAAAGAAGCACCGGCUAACUACGUG
RNAcentral lists this ribosomal RNA (468 nucleotides) under uncultured bacterium. Its description in RNAcentral is "partial 16S ribosomal RNA". It matches the Rfam family "Bacterial small subunit ribosomal RNA", at positions 28 to 507 of the family's 1533-position model. The record is from RNAcentral.